Molecule: ribosomal RNA, 333 nt
Filed under: Staphylococcus haemolyticus
Lineage: Bacteria; Bacillati; Bacillota; Bacilli; Caryophanales; Staphylococcaceae
Description: partial 23S ribosomal RNA
Rfam family: Bacterial large subunit ribosomal RNA
Source: RNAcentral
GGCAAAUCCGGCACUCUUAAGAUUGAGCUGUGAUGGGGAGAGGAAAUUGUUUCCUCGAGUCGUUGAUUUCACACUGCCGAGAAAAGCCUCUAGAUAGAUAAUAGGUGCCCGUACCGCAAACCGACACAGGUAGUCAAGAUGAGAAUUCUAAGGUGAGCGAGCGAACUCUCGUUAAGGAACUCGGCAAAAUGACCCCGUAACUUCGGGAGAAGGGGUGCUCUUUAGGGUGCAAGCCCAGAAGAGCCGCAGUGAAUAGGCCCAAGCGACUGUUUAUCAAAAACACAGGUCUCUGCUAAACCGUAAGGUGAUGUAUAGGGGCUGACGCCUGCCCGG